CAUGUUGCGCAAAAAGCCCAAAUCGGGCUUUCAAAAAAAGAAAGAAAGGAAUGAAAAAGAAAGGAGGCAGAAUGAGGGGAAGCAGCUGAUGACUGCUUUCUUUCCAAAAGUUUCAGAAACAACCAGUGGUUCUGACACACCAGCAGUACUAGCAGCACUGGCCAGUCCUGGCUGCUGUUCUGGAGAUGAGGCUGAGACUGAGAGCAGAAAUGAGGAAAGACAAGAAAGUUCUGCACUUGAUGCAGAAGACAUGGCAGGGUGCGAGUCUGAUGAUGUGAGAGAAGGUGAGCUCAUAGAGGCAACUUUAAGUUAUUACCAACAAUCAUGUGCUGUAGCAGUUUCAACUGAAAUGAGCAGCAGUCUACUAUUAUCAUACUACUAUCAUACUACGACAUACUACUACUAUUAUAGUACUAUUAUCAAGUAGGAUGAAUUAUUACAUGUGAGACUACAAUAAGGUUGAGGCUAACAUAAAUAAUGUAUAUUUCAUGCUUGUAGAUGUAUUUGAGAGUAGUGAGGAGGCUGGGGAGAGAGAAAAGGAAGGGCAAAGUGAGGGAAAUGAAGAGGCUGGGGAGAGAGAAAAGGAAGGGCAAAGUGAGGGAAAUGAAGAGGAGUUGUCAGAGGACCCAGGACUGUGGCCAGAGAAGCUAACUGCUCAGCAGAGAGAUACUCUAGUUUGCAGACUGGCUAGU
Long non-coding RNA from Esox lucius (northern pike), 692 nucleotides. RefSeq lists it as uncharacterized. Lineage: Eukaryota; Metazoa; Chordata; Actinopteri; Esociformes; Esocidae. The transcript is spliced from 3 exons. The record is from RefSeq and is a predicted model, not a curated record.